This 104-nucleotide microRNA precursor is filed under the name Marmota monax (woodchuck). Lineage: Eukaryota; Metazoa; Chordata; Mammalia; Rodentia; Sciuridae. The record is from RNAcentral.
GGUGCAAUGGCUGGGUCAUAUGGUAGGCAUAUAUUUAACUUUUUAAAGAGACUGCCCAAUUAUUUUCCAAGGUGGUUGUACCAUUUUACAUUCCAACCAAUAGU